This 450-nucleotide ribosomal RNA is filed under the name Meghimatium burchi. Its description in RNAcentral is "partial 16S ribosomal RNA". Lineage: Eukaryota; Metazoa; Mollusca; Gastropoda; Stylommatophora; Philomycidae. The record is from RNAcentral.
AAAACAUGGUCUUUUGAAAAAAUAAUAGAUCUCUUCUGCUCAAUGAUAAAUUUAAAUAGCCGCAGUACUUUGACUGUGCUAAGGUAGCAAAAUAAUUUGACUCUUAAUUAGGGCCGCGUAUGAAAGAAAUAAUGGUUAAUAAGUGUCUUUUUUUUAAUAUCAAAAAUUUACUUAUUUGGUGAAAAUUCCAAUAAAAUAAAAUUAGACGAGAAGACCCUUAGAAUUUUCAAAAUUUAUAUUUACAAAUAUAUUUUUUUUUGUUGGGGCGACAAUAUAUACAAUAUAACUUAUAUAAUUUUACACAUCUUAAAAUAAUUUGUGAAAAUAAUUACCUAAGGGAUAACAGCAUAAUAAUUUUUUUGUUUGUGACCUCGAUGUUGGACUAGGGACUAAGGCGAUUAAAAAUUAUCUUAGUUUGCUUCUGUUCGAAGCUUUUUACCUACGUGAUCU